ACUGUGAUAAGGGAACCCCGAGUGGGGGUACACGCGGGCUGUCCCGGUGUUUAAAACACAUCGGAAGAAAGGGCCGGGCAAGACCGGUGCCAGCCGCCGCGGUAAUACCGGCNNCUCGAGUGGUGACCACUUUUAUUGGGCUUAAAGCGUUCGUAGCUUGAUUUUUAAGUCUCUUGGGAAAUCUCACGGCUUAACUGUGAGGCGUCUAAGAGAUACUGGGAAUCUAGGGACCGGGAGAGGUAAGAGGUACUUCAGGGGUAGAAGUGAAAUUCUGUAAUCCUUGAGGGAUUACCGAUGGCGAAGGCAUCUUACCAGAACGGCUUCGACAGUGAGGAACGAAAGCUGGGGGAGCGAACGGGAUUAGAUACCCCGGUAGUCCCAGCCGUAAACUAUGCGCGUUAGGUGUGCCUGUAACUACGAGUUACCGGGGUGCCGAAGUGAAAACGUGCCACGUGUUGCCUGGGAAGUACGGUCGCAAGGCUGAAACUUAAAGGAAUUGG
This 500-nucleotide ribosomal RNA is filed under the name uncultured Methanomicrobiales archaeon. RNAcentral's name for it is "bacterial SSU rRNA". It matches the Rfam family "Archaeal small subunit ribosomal RNA", at positions 364 to 868 of the family's 1478-position model. The record is from RNAcentral. Lineage: Archaea; Methanobacteriati; Methanobacteriota; Methanomicrobia; Methanomicrobiales.